CAGCAGCCGCGGUAAUACGUAGAGUGCGAGCGUUAAUCGGAAUUACUGGGCGUAAAGCGUGCGCAGGCGGUGAUGUAAGACAGUUGUGAAAUCCUCGGGCUCAACCUGGGAACUGCAUCUGUGACUGCAUCGCUGGAGUGCGGCAGAGGGGGAUGGAAUUCCGCGUGUAGCAGUGAAAUGCGUAGAUAUGCGGAGGAACACCGAUGGCGAAGGCAAUCCCCUGGGCCUGCACUGACGCUCAUGCACGAAAGCGUGGGGAGCAAACAGGAUUAGAUACCCCUGUAGUCCCUGUCUCUUAUAC
This 301-nucleotide ribosomal RNA is filed under the name uncultured bacterium. Its description in RNAcentral is "partial 16S ribosomal RNA". It matches the Rfam family "Bacterial small subunit ribosomal RNA", at positions 509 to 807 of the family's 1533-position model. The record is from RNAcentral.